RNAcentral lists this ribosomal RNA (1506 nucleotides) under metagenome. RNAcentral describes it as "bacterial SSU rRNA". It matches the Rfam family "Bacterial small subunit ribosomal RNA". The record is from RNAcentral.
AGAGUUUGAUCCUGGCUCAGGACGAACGCUGGCGGCGUGCCUAAUACAUGCAAGUAGAACGCUGAAGAGAGGAGCUUGCUCUUCUUGGAUGAGUUGCGAACGGGUGAGUAACGCGUAGGUAACCUGCCUUGUAGCGGGGGAUAACUAUUGGAAACGAAAGCUAAUACCGCAUAACAAUGGAUGACACAUGUCAUUUAUUUGAAAGGGGCAAUUGUUCCACUACAAGAUGGACCUGCGUUGUAUUAGCUAGUAGGUGAGGUAAUGGCUCACCUAGGCGACGAUACAUAGCCGACCUGAGAGGGUGAUCGGCCACACUGGGACUGAGACACGGCCCAGACUCCUACGGGAGGCAGCAGUAGGGAAUCUUCGGCAAUGGGGGCAACCCUGACCGAGCAACGCCGCGUGAGUGAAGAAGGUUUUCGGAUCGUAAAGCUCUGUUGUAAGUCAAGAACGGGUGUGAGAGUGGAAAGUUCACACUGUGACGGUAGCUUACCAGAAAGGGACGGCUAACUACGUGCCAGCAGCCGCGGUAAUACGUAGGUCCCGAGCGUUGUCCGGAUUUAUUGGGCGUAAAGCGAGCGCAGGCGGUUUGAUAAGUCUGAAGUUAAAGGCUGUGGCUCAACCAUAGUUCGCUUUGGAAACUGUCAAACUUGAGUGCAGAAGGGGAGAGUGGAAUUCCAUGUGUAGCGGUGAAAUGCGUAGAUAUAUGGAGGAACACCGGUGGCGAAAGCGGCUCUCUGGUCUGUAACUGACGCUGAGGCUCGAAAGCGUGGGGAGCGAACAGGAUUAGAUACCCUGGUAGUCCACGCCGUAAACGAUGAGUGCUAGGUGUUGGAUCCUUUCCGGGAUUCAGUGCCGCAGCUAACGCAUUAAGCACUCCGCCUGGGGAGUACGACCGCAAGGUUGAAACUCAAAGGAAUUGACGGGGGCCCGCACAAGCGGUGGAGCAUGUGGUUUAAUUCGAAGCAACGCGAAGAACCUUACCAGGUCUUGACAUCCCGAUGCUAUUUCUAGAGAUAGAAAGUUACUUCGGUACAUCGGUGACAGGUGGUGCAUGGUUGUCGUCAGCUCGUGUCGUGAGAUGUUGGGUUAAGUCCCGCAACGAGCGCAACCCCUAUUGUUAGUUGCCAUCAUUCAGUUGGGCACUCUAGCGAGACUGCCGGUAAUAAACCGGAGGAAGGUGGGGAUGACGUCAAAUCAUCAUGCCCCUUAUGACCUGGGCUACACACGUGCUACAAUGGUUGGUACAACGAGUUGCGAGUCGGUGACGGCGAGCUAAUCUCUUAAAGCCAAUCUCAGUUCGGAUUGUAGGCUGCAACUCGCCUACAUGAAGUCGGAAUCGCUAGUAAUCGCGGAUCAGCACGCCGCGGUGAAUACGUUCCCGGGCCUUGUACACACCGCCCGUCACACCACGAGAGUUUGUAACACCCGAAGUCGGUGAGGUAACCUUUUGGAGCCAGCCGCCUAAGGUGGGACAGAUGAUUGGGGUGAAGUCGUAACAAGAUA